AGCAGCCGCGGUAAUUCCAGCUCCAAUAGCGUAUAUUAAAGUUGUUGCAGUUAAAAAGCUCGUAGUUGAAUUUCGGGAUUGGCGCAUCGGUCGUGCCUCACGGGGUAUGAACUGGUGCAGUCAAUUUCUCACCUUCUGGAGAACCGCGAUGUCCUUAAUUGGAUGCCGUGGGGAACCAGGACCUUUACUUUGAAAAAAUUAGAGUGUUUAAAGCAGGCAUUUUUGCUUGAAUACAUUAGCAUGGAAUAAUAAAAUAGGACGGCAUGGUUCUAUUUUGUUGGUUUCUAGGACCACCGUAAUGAUUAAUAGGGAUAGUUGGGGGCAUUAGUAUUCAAUUGUCAGAGGUGAAAUUCUUGGAUUUAUUGAAGACUAACUACUGCGAAAGCAUUUGCCAAGGAUGUUUUCAUUAAUCAAGAACGAAAGUUAGGGGAUCGAAGACGAUCAGAUACCGUCGUAGUCUUAACCAUAAACUAUGCCGACUAGGAAUCAGACGAUGUUAAUUUUUAACGACUCGUUUGGC
RNAcentral lists this unclassified non-coding RNA (520 nucleotides) under uncultured Entrophospora. Its description in RNAcentral is "SSU rRNA". It matches the Rfam family "Eukaryotic small subunit ribosomal RNA", at positions 569 to 1084 of the family's 1831-position model. Lineage: Eukaryota; Fungi; Glomeromycota; Glomeromycetes; Entrophosporales; Entrophosporaceae. The record is from RNAcentral.